This 86-nucleotide microRNA precursor is filed under the name Solanum tuberosum (potato). RNAcentral describes it as "MIR8024 microRNA precursor family". It matches the Rfam family "MIR8024 microRNA precursor family". Lineage: Eukaryota; Viridiplantae; Streptophyta; Magnoliopsida; Solanales; Solanaceae. The record is from Rfam by way of RNAcentral.
UUAGAGUAUUUCAAAACUUUAACUUGCAAACUUGAAGGAUUUGAAAACUUCUACUUGCAUACUUGAAGAAUUUGAAAACUUCGAAU